GAGAGAUUCCCGCAUUGAGGAUCGGUGCCGACCGGCACUCACCAGCCCGAGAGGCUUGUCUGUUCACCCGCCGGGGAGGGGCGGGGCUGGGAGCUGAGGCUCAGGCUUCAGGGAGAGGUCGGAGUGCAGGGAGAGGACUGGGGUUGGCGGUGUGAACACAGCCUGAAGGGAGUUAGUGCACCACAGCUAGCUAUGAGGGAGUACGGGGAAAAGUCUGGAUCUGCCAAAGAGGCAAGAGACUUGUUCUUCCCUCUUUGUUUCCUGGUGCGCGAGGAGAGGGGAUUCAGAGAACAGUCUAAAGGAGCUCCAGAGACGGGCGCGAGCCGCGGCUAUCAGCGCGGACCCCAGAGACGGGCAUGAGACGCUAAGGCUGCUGCUGCCACCACCAAGAAGCCUGUGUGCGAGCACAGGUCACUCUCCACACCUCCCCUCCCUGGAGCCUGUGCAGCCCGCCACUGCCAGGGUCCCGUGAUCCAGGGACAACUUCCCCGGGAGAACACACAGCGCGCCUCAGGCUGGUGCAGCGUCAUGUUGGCCUCGGCCGCUGCAGGCUCGCCCCACAUCCAUAACCCCUCACUCGCCCCGGCCUGAGUGAGCCAGAGACCCCGAAUCAGCUGCUCCUUUAACCCCAUCCUGUGUGAGCGAAGAACAGACGCCCUCAUGCGACCUACACACAGGGGCGGGGCCAAGCCAAAGCUGAACCCCAGGAGCUGUGCAAACAAAGAAGAGAAAGGGAAAUCUCUCCAGCAGCCUCAGAAGUAGCAGAUUAAAUCUCCACAAUCACCUUGAUGUACCCUGCAUCUGUGGAAUACCUGAAUAGACAACGAAUCAUCCCAAAACUGAGGCAGUGGACUUCAGGAGCAACUGUAGACUUGGGGUUUGCUGUAUGUGACUGACUGGUUUCUGGGUUUAUGUUUAUCUUAGUUUAGUAUUUAGAGUUUAUUAUCGUUGGUAGAUUUGUUUAUUGAUUUGGUUGCUCUCUUCUUUUUUUUUUAAUAUAUAGAUAUAUAUUUUUUAACUUUUUCUCUUUUUGUGAGUGUGUAUAUGUAUGCUUCUUUGUGUGAUUUUGUCUGUAUAGAUUUGCUUUUACCAUU
This is a long non-coding RNA of Orcinus orca (killer whale), 1094 nucleotides long. RefSeq lists it as uncharacterized. The transcript has 2 exons. NCBI's taxonomy places the organism in Eukaryota, Metazoa, Chordata, Mammalia, Artiodactyla, Delphinidae. The record is from RefSeq and is a predicted model, not a curated record.